UUGGGCGUAAGGGCUCGCAGGCGGUUUCUUAAGUCCUGAUGUGAAAGCCCCCCGGCUCAACCGGGGAGGGUCAUUGGAAACUGGGGAACUUGAGUGCAGAAGAGGAGAGUGGAAUUCCACGUGUAGCGGUGAAAUGCGUAGAGAUGUGGAGGAACACCAGUGGCGAAGGCGACUCUCUGGUCUGUAACUGACGCUGAGGAGCGAAAGCGUGGGGAGCGAACAGGAUUAGAUACCCUGGUAGUCCACGCCGUAAACGAUGAGUGCUAAGUGUUAGGGGGUUUCCGCCCCUUAGUGCUGCAGCUAACGCAUUAAGCACUCCGCCUGGGGAGUACGGUCGCAAGACUGAAACUCAAAGGAAUUGACGGGGGCCCGCACAAGCGGUGGAGCAUGUGGUUUAAUUCGAAGCAACGCGAAGAACCUUACCAGGUCUUGACAUCCUCUGACAAUCCUAGAGAUAGGACGUCCCCUUCGGGGGCAGAGUGACAGGUGGUGCAUGGUUGUCGUCAGCUCGUGUCGUGAGAUGUUGGGUUAAGUCCCGCAACGAGCGCAACCCUUGAUCUUAGUUGCCAGCAUUCAGUUGGGCACUCUAAGGUGACUGCCGGUGACAAACCGGAGGAAGGUGGGGAUGACGUCAAAUCAUCAUGCCCCUUAUGACCUGGGCUACACACGUGCUACAAUGGACAGAACAAAGGGCAGCGAAACCGCGAGGUUAAGCCAAUCCCACAAAUCUGUUCUCAGUUCGGAUCGCAGUC
Molecule: ribosomal RNA, 752 nt
Filed under: Bacillus subtilis
Lineage: Bacteria; Bacillati; Bacillota; Bacilli; Caryophanales; Bacillaceae
Description: bacterial SSU rRNA
Rfam family: Bacterial small subunit ribosomal RNA
Source: RNAcentral